AUUAACCUAAUACUAGCCCUAGUAAUCAACACCCUAUUAGCCUUAUCACUAAUAGUUAUUACAUUAUGGCUCCCACAACUUAAUAUUUAUAUAGAAAAAUCCAGCCCCUACAAAUGCAGAUUUGACCCAUUAUCCUCCGCCUGCAUUCCCUCCCCCAUAAAAUUUUUUCUAGUAGCCAUCACAUUCCUCCUAUUUGACUUAGAAAUCGCCCUAUUACCCUUGCCAUGAGCUCUUCAAACAAACAACCUGACACUAACAAUCAGCACAGCCCUUAUACUAGUUAUCAUUUUAGUACUAGGGUUAACUUAUGAAUGAACUCAAAAAGGAUUAGACUGAACUGAA
Molecule: long non-coding RNA, 342 nt
Filed under: Homo sapiens (human)
Lineage: Eukaryota; Metazoa; Chordata; Mammalia; Primates; Hominidae
Description: non-protein coding lnc-ZNF680-25:1
Source: RNAcentral